RNAcentral lists this ribosomal RNA (667 nucleotides) under uncultured Clostridiaceae bacterium. Its description in RNAcentral is "bacterial SSU rRNA". It matches the Rfam family "Bacterial small subunit ribosomal RNA", at positions 103 to 785 of the family's 1533-position model. Lineage: Bacteria; Bacillati; Bacillota; Clostridia; Eubacteriales; Clostridiaceae. The record is from RNAcentral.
CGGGUGAGUAACACGUGGGUAACCUGCCUCAAAGUGGGGGAUAGCCUUUCGAAAGGAAGAUUAAUACCGCAUAAGCCUCCGGUGCCGCAUGGUGCUGAAGGAAAAGGAGCAAUUCGCUUUGAGAUGGACCCGCGGCGCAUUAGCUAGUUGGUGAGGUAACGGCUCACCAAGGCCACGAUGCGUAGCCGACCUGAGAGGGUGAUCGGCCACAUUGGAACUGAGACACGGUCCAGACUCCUACGGGAGGCAGCAGUGGGGAAUAUUGCACAAUGGGCGAAAGCCUGAUGCAGCAACGCCGCGUGAGUGAUGAAGGCCUUCGGGUCGUAAAGCUCUUUGAUCAGGGAUGAUAAUGACAGUACCUGAAAAACAAGCCACGGCUAACUACGUGCCAGCAGCCGCGGUAAUACGUAGGUGGCGAGCGUUGUCCGGAAUUACUGGGCGUAAAGGAUGCGUAGGUGGAUACUUAAGUGGGAUGUGAAAUCCCCGGGCUCAACCCGGGAACUGCAUUCCAAACUGGGUAUCUAGAGUGCAGGAGAGGAAAGCGGAAUUCCUAGUGUAGCGGUGAAAUGCGUANAUAUUAGGAGGAACACCAGUGGCGAAGGCGGCUUUCUGGACUGUAACUGACACUGAGGCAUGAAAGCGUGGGUAGCAAAACAGGAUUAAAUAC